ACUCAAAUGAAUAGACGGGGGCCCGCACAAGCGGUGGAGCAUGUGGCUUAAUUCGAUGCAACGCGAAGAACCUUACCUGGGUUUGACAUGUGACUGGAUGCUGGUCGAAAGAUCGGAGGCCUUCGAGGCUGUCACACAGGUGCUGCAUGGCUGUCGUCAGCUCGUGCCGUGAGGUGUUAGGUUAAGUCCUGCAACGAGCGCAACCCCUGUGAAUAGUUGCCAUGGCGCAAGCCGGGAACUCUAUUCAGACUGCCUGUGAUAAGCAGGAGGAAGGUGGGGAUGACGUCAAGUCAGUAUGGUCCUUAUAUCCAGGGCUGCACACGUGCUACAAUGACGAGUACAGAGGGAAGCGAAGCCGCGAGGUGAAGCAAAUCCCCGAAAACUUGUCCCAGUUCAGAUUGGAGUCUGCAACUCGACUCCAUGAAGCCGGAAUCGCUAGUAAUGGCGCAUCAGCUACGGCGCCGUGAAUACGUUCCCGGGCCUUGCACACACCGCCCGU
This 499-nucleotide ribosomal RNA is filed under the name uncultured bacterium. Its description in RNAcentral is "partial 16S ribosomal RNA". It matches the Rfam family "Bacterial small subunit ribosomal RNA", at positions 899 to 1397 of the family's 1533-position model. The record is from RNAcentral.